This 253-nucleotide ribosomal RNA is filed under the name uncultured bacterium. RNAcentral's name for it is "partial 16S ribosomal RNA". It matches the Rfam family "Bacterial small subunit ribosomal RNA", at positions 524 to 776 of the family's 1533-position model. The record is from RNAcentral.
UACAGAGACUGCAAGCGUUAUUCGGAUUUACUGGGUGUAAAGCGCGUGCAGGCGGUUCGUUAAGUUGGAUGUGAAAGCUCCCGGCUCAACUGGGAGAGGUCGUACAAGACUGGCGGACUGGAGUGUGGCAAGGGAAGGUGGAAUUCCGGGAGUAGUGGUGAAAUGCGUAGAUAUCCGGAGGAACACCAGUGGCGAAAGCGGCCUUCUGGGCCACAACUGACGCUCAGACGCGAAAGCUAGGGUAGCAAACGGG